UACGUAGGGGGCAAGCGUUGUCCGGAUUUAUUGGGCGUAAAGCGCUCGCAGGCGGUCCGAUGCGUCGUGCGUGAAAGCCCCCGGCUCAACUGGGGAGGGUCGUGCGAUACGGUCGGACUUGAGGCCAGUAGGGGGAUGCGGAAUUCCUGGUGUAGCGGUGAAAUGCGCAGAUAUCAGGAAGAACACCAAUGGCGAAAGCAGCUCUCUGGGACGGUACUGACGCUGAGACGCGAAAGCGUGGGGAGCGAACAGG
This 253-nucleotide ribosomal RNA is filed under the name uncultured bacterium. Its description in RNAcentral is "partial 16S ribosomal RNA". It matches the Rfam family "Bacterial small subunit ribosomal RNA", at positions 524 to 776 of the family's 1533-position model. The record is from RNAcentral.